Non-coding RNA from Drosophila melanogaster (fruit fly), 283 nucleotides. NCBI's taxonomy places the organism in Eukaryota, Metazoa, Arthropoda, Insecta, Diptera, Drosophilidae. The record is from Ensembl.
ACCGAUCUGUACAGCAUUUCAGAAUUGAGAGUCCGAGAGGUUUUCGGAUCGGAAUGGGAUCUAGUCGAGCGACAAAUCCAGGGGCUGUGUGGCCAAAGGGAUUGACAAAAUACAAGGGGGCGCCUAGGACUGUAAUUCAAGCCGGCACACAGUCAUUGAAAGCCGGUGGAAUAACCCUUGGAAUACAGUUGUAGCCUCACUUUAACUUAAACCAGGUUCUGGAGCUCUAUAUUGGGUGUUCUUUAUUUUACUUCUUACUCCAUGGGAGUGAGCCUGAAGCCUC